UACGGAGGAUGCAAGCGUUAUCCGGAUUUAUUAGGUAUAAAGGGUGCGUAGGCGGAUCUGUUAGUCAGCGGUGAAAUACUACGGCUUAACCGUAGAACUGCCAUUGAUACUGCAGGUCUUGAGUACAAUUGAGGUAGGCGGAAUGUGUGGUGUAGCGGUGAAAUGCUUAGAUAUCACACAGAACACCGAUUGCGAAGGCAGCUUACUAAGUUGCAACUGACGCUGAUGCACGAAAGCAUGGGGAG
RNAcentral lists this ribosomal RNA (245 nucleotides) under uncultured bacterium. RNAcentral describes it as "partial 16S ribosomal RNA". It matches the Rfam family "Bacterial small subunit ribosomal RNA", at positions 524 to 768 of the family's 1533-position model. The record is from RNAcentral.